UACUGUGCCACGGAUGGGUAGC
Molecule: microRNA, 22 nt
Filed under: Ovis aries (sheep)
Lineage: Eukaryota; Metazoa; Chordata; Mammalia; Artiodactyla; Bovidae
Description: miRNA 36-f
Source: RNAcentral